This 335-nucleotide unclassified non-coding RNA is filed under the name soil metagenome. RNAcentral describes it as "partial contains 5.8S ribosomal RNA, internal transcribed spacer 2, and large subunit ribosomal RNA". The stretch from base 1 to 120 matches the Rfam family "5.8S ribosomal RNA", at positions 35 to 154 of the family's 154-position model. The record is from RNAcentral.
GAUGAAGAACGUAGCGAAAUGCGAUAGGUAGUGUGAAUUGCAGAAUUCAGUGAAUCAUCGAAUCUUUGAACGCACAUUGCGCCCUAUGGUAUUCCGUAGGGCAUGCCUGUUCGAGCGUCAUUCAAACCUUCAAGCUCUGCUUGGUGUUGGGCGUCUGUCCUGCCUCACGGCGCGGACUCGCCUCAAAUCUAUUGGCGGCCGGCACGUUGGCUUCGAGCGCAGCAGAAACGCGAACUCGAGACCGGCGGAUCGGCUCCCAGAAGCUACCCCCAUGAAUUUGACCUCGGAUCAGGUAGGGAUACCCGCUGAACUUAAGCAUAUCAAUAAGCGGAGGA